CCCUUAGAUGUUCUGGGCUGCACGCGCGCUACACUGAUGCACUCAACGAGUUUACGACCUUGCCCGAUAGGGUUGGGUAAUCUUUUUAAAAUGCAUCGUGAUGGGGAUAGAUUAUUGCAAUUAUUAAUCUUCAACGAGGAAUUCCUAGUAAGCGCGAGUCAUCAGCUCGUGCUGAUUACGCCCCUGCCCUUUGUACACACCGCCCGUCGCUCCUACCGAUUGAGUGCUCAGGUGAAUAAUUCGGACUGCAGCAAUGUUUGGAUCCCGAACGUUGCAGCGGAAAGUUUAGUGAACCUUAUCACUUAGAGGAAGGAGAAGUCGUAACA
This 326-nucleotide ribosomal RNA is filed under the name uncultured eukaryote. RNAcentral describes it as "partial 18S ribosomal RNA". It matches the Rfam family "Eukaryotic small subunit ribosomal RNA", at positions 1470 to 1796 of the family's 1831-position model. The record is from RNAcentral.